GAUGAACGCUGGCGGCGUGCCUAAUACAUGCAAGUCGAGCAAACAGACGAGGAGCUUGCUCCUCUGACGUUAGCGGCGGACGGGUGAGUAACACGUGGAUAACCUACCUAUAAGACUGGGAUAACUUCGGGAAACCGGAGCUAAUACCGGAUAAUAUAUUGAACCGCAUGGUUCAAUAGUGAAAGACGGUUUUGCUGUCACUUAUAGAUUGAUCCGCGCCGCAUUAGCUAGUUGGUAAGGUAACGGCUUACCAAGGCAACGAUGCGUAGCCGACCUGAGAGGGUGAGCGGCCACACUGGAACUGAGACACGGUCCAGACUCCUACGGGAGGCAGCAGUAGGGAAUCUUCCGCAAUGGGCGAAAGCCUGACGGAGCAACGCCGCGUGAGUGAUGAAGGUCUUCGGAUCGUAAAACUCUGUUAUUAGGGAAGAACAAAUGUGUAAGUAACUAUGCACGUCUUGACGGUACCUAAUCAGAAAGCCACGGCUAACUACGUG
Molecule: ribosomal RNA, 497 nt
Filed under: uncultured bacterium
Lineage: Bacteria
Description: partial 16S ribosomal RNA
Rfam family: Bacterial small subunit ribosomal RNA
Source: RNAcentral